UAGGGAAUCUUCCACAAUGGACGCAAGUCUGUUGGAGCAACGCCGCGUGAGUGAAGAAGGUUUUCGGAUCGUAAAGCUCUGUUGUUGGUGAAGAAGGAUAGAGGCAGUAACUGGUCUUUAUUUGACGGUAAUCAACCAGAAAGUCACGGCUAACUACGUGCCAGCAGCCGCGGUAAUACGUAGGUGGCAAGCGUUGUCCGGAUUUAUUGGGCGUAAAGCGAGCGCAGGCGGAAUGAUAAGUCUGAUGUGAAAGCCCACGGCUCAACCGUGGAACUGCAUCGGAAACUGUCAUUCUUGAGUGCAGAAGAGGAGAGUGGAAUUCGAUGUGUAGCGGUGGAAUGCGUAGAUAUAUGGAAGAACACCAGUGGCGAAGGCGGCUCUCUGGUCUGCAACUGACGCUGAGGCUCGAAAGCAUGGGUAGCGAACAGG
Molecule: ribosomal RNA, 429 nt
Filed under: bacterium
Lineage: Bacteria
Description: partial 16S ribosomal RNA
Rfam family: Bacterial small subunit ribosomal RNA
Source: RNAcentral